Maniola jurtina (meadow brown) is the source of this 108-nucleotide long non-coding RNA. RefSeq lists it as uncharacterized. The transcript has 3 exons. NCBI's taxonomy places the organism in Eukaryota, Metazoa, Arthropoda, Insecta, Lepidoptera, Nymphalidae. The record is from RefSeq and is a predicted model, not a curated record.
UUGACAGCUGCCCGAAGGGGUUUAUUUGUAGUGCGCUCCAAGCAAACGUAGUUUAGCUCUCAAUUGAAUACUAACCAAUCGAACUCAAUGAAAUUAUUAUGUUUUAGG